UGGGGAAUAUUGGACAAUGGGCGCAAGCCUGAUCCAGCCAUGCCGCGUGAGUGACGAAGGUCUUCGGAUUGUAAAGCUCUUUUGGCGGGGACGAUAAUGACGGUACCCGCAGAAUAAGCCCCGGCUAACUUCGUGCCAGCAGCCGCGGUAAUACGAAGGGGGCUAGCGUUGUUCGGAAUUACUGGGCGUAAAGCGCACGUAGGCGGAUUUGCCAGUCAGGGGUGAAAUCCCGGGGCUCAACCUCGGAACUGCCCUUGAUACAGCAAGUCUUGAGUCCGGAAGAGGUGAGUGGAAUUCCUAGUGUAGAGGUGAAAUUCGUAGAUAUUAGGAAGAACACCAGUGGCGAAGGCGGCUCACUGGUCCGGUACUGACGCUGAGGUGCGAAAGCGUGGGGAGCAAACA
Molecule: ribosomal RNA, 402 nt
Filed under: uncultured prokaryote
Description: bacterial SSU rRNA
Rfam family: Bacterial small subunit ribosomal RNA
Source: RNAcentral